This 768-nucleotide ribosomal RNA is filed under the name Acinetobacter sp. zgr28. RNAcentral's name for it is "bacterial SSU rRNA". It matches the Rfam family "Bacterial small subunit ribosomal RNA", at positions 56 to 819 of the family's 1533-position model. The record is from RNAcentral. Lineage: Bacteria; Pseudomonadati; Pseudomonadota; Gammaproteobacteria; Moraxellales; Moraxellaceae.
UGCAGUCGAGCGGGGAAGAGUAGCUUGCUACUUUACCUAGCGGCGGACGGGUGAGUAAUGCUUAGGAAUCUGCCUAUUAGUGGGGGACAACAUCUCGAAAGGGAUGCUAAUACCGCAUACGUCCUACGGGAGAAAGCAGGGGACCUUCGGGCCUUGCGCUAAUAGAUGAGCCUAAGUCGGAUUAGCUAGUUGGUGGGGUAAAGGCCUACCAAGGCGACGAUCUGUAGCGGGUCUGAGAGGAUGAUCCGCCACACUGGGACUGAGACACGGCCCAGACUCCUACGGGAGGCAGCAGUGGGGAAUAUUGGACAAUGGGGGGAACCCUGAUCCAGCCAUGCCGCGUGUGUGAAGAAGGCCUUUUGGUUGUAAAGCACUUUAAGCGAGGAGGAGGCUACCGAGAUUAAUACUCUUGGAUAGUGGACGUUACUCGCAGAAUAAGCACCGGCUAACUCUGUGCCAGCAGCCGCGGUAAUACAGAGGGUGCAAGCGUUAAUCGGAUUUACUGGGCGUAAAGCGCGCGUAGGUGGCCAAUUAAGUCAAAUGUGAAAUCCCCGAGCUUAACUUGGGAAUUGCAUUCGAUACUGGUUGGCUAGAGUAUGGGAGAGGAUGGUAGAAUUCCAGGUGUAGCGGUGAAAUGCGUAGAGAUCUGGAGGAAUACCGAUGGCGAAGGCAGCCAUCUGGCCUAAUACUGACACUGAGGUGCGAAAGCAUGGGGAGCAAACAGGAUUAGAUACCCUGGUAGUCCAUGCCGUAAACGAUGUCUACUAG